Molecule: ribosomal RNA, 525 nt
Filed under: Parathelphusa maculata
Lineage: Eukaryota; Metazoa; Arthropoda; Malacostraca; Decapoda; Gecarcinucidae
Description: partial 16S ribosomal RNA
Rfam family: Bacterial large subunit ribosomal RNA
Source: RNAcentral
UCUAUUUGAAGAUAUAAAAAGUCGGGCCUGCUCACUGACAAAAAAUUUAAGAGCCGCGGUAUUAUGACCGUGCAAAGGUAGCAUAAUCAUUAGGUUUUUAAAUGAGAUCUUGUAUGAAUGGUUGGACAAAGGAAAAGCUGUCUUUAUUUUAAAAUUUGAAUUUUACUUUUGAGUGAGAAGGCUUAAAUAUUUUAGAGGGACGAUAAGACCCUAUAAAGCUUUACAUUGUAAUUAUAUUUAAUUGAAAUUAAAGAAAUUAAAAAUUUAAUUUAAGAAUAUGUUUUAUUGGGGAGAUAAAAGUAUAAAUUAUAUUAACUGCUUUAAUAAAAAACAAUUUUAUUAAUGAAUUGUUAAUUUUAAGAGAUCCUAUAGAUGAUAUAGAAAAAAGGUUAAGUUACUUUAGGGAUAACAGUGUAAUUUUUUUUGAGAGUUCAUAUCGAAAAAAAAGUUUGCAACCUCGAUGUUGAAUUAAAAUAUCUAUAUAAUGUAGCUGUUAUAUAAGAAGGUCUGUUCGACCUUUAAUUU